AAUUUCAGUUCGCCAACCAACCGUUUUGUCGACACAUGAAUCGGUUGCACAAUUAUUUUAAAUCGGUUGUUUUAUUAUAGUUUUUGUCUCCCCAAUUUUCCACCCACAAUAGUGGCACACCCAUCCCAAGUAUGAGUUUUUUUUUUUUUUUUUUAGUUUAUUAUUCAUAACGUAAUCAUUUCAAGUUUAGAGACGACGAAAUUACGACUACAAAAUAUAUAGAC
Molecule: non-coding RNA, 224 nt
Organism: Cinara cedri
Lineage: Eukaryota; Metazoa; Arthropoda; Insecta; Hemiptera; Aphididae
Source: the annotation of a GenBank genome assembly